Molecule: ribosomal RNA, 430 nt
Filed under: Bacteroidota bacterium
Lineage: Bacteria; Pseudomonadati; Bacteroidota
Description: Bacteroidetes bacterium partial 16S ribosomal RNA
Rfam family: Bacterial small subunit ribosomal RNA
Source: RNAcentral
UAGGGAAUCUUCGGCAAUGGGGGGAACCCUGACCGAGCAACGCCGCGUGAGUGAAGUAGGUUUUCGGAUCGUAAAGCUCUGUUGUUAAGGAAGAACGAGUGUGAGAAUGGAAAGUUCAUACUGUGACGGUACUUAACCAGAAAGGGACGGCUAACUACGUGCCAGCAGCCGCGGUAAUACGUAGGUCCCGAGCGUUGUCCGGAUUUAUUGGGCGUAACGCGAGCGCAGGCGGUCAAUUAAGUCUGAUGUGAAAGCCCCCUGCUCAACCGGGGAGGGUCGUUGGAAAAUGGUUGACUUGAGUGCGCAUGAGGGUAGUGGAAUUCGAUGUGUAGCGGUGAAAUACGUAGAUAUAUAGUGGAACGCCAGUGGCGAAGGCGACUCUCAGGACUGAAACAUAAGAUGAGGCACGAAAGCAUCGGUAGCCAACAGC